Molecule: transfer RNA, 87 nt
Filed under: compost metagenome
Description: tRNA-Asn
Rfam family: tRNA
About the family: Transfer RNA (tRNA) molecules are approximately 80 nucleotides in length. Their secondary structure includes four short double-helical elements and three loops (D, anti-codon, and T loops).
Source: RNAcentral
UCCAUGGUAAGCAUAAUUGGUACUGCAUUCCGCUGUUAACGGAACUUCCGAAAGGUCUUGCUGGUUCGAGUCCAGCCCAUGGAGCCA